This is a non-coding RNA of Vicia faba (fava bean), 198 nucleotides long. The record is from the annotation of a GenBank genome assembly. Lineage: Eukaryota; Viridiplantae; Streptophyta; Magnoliopsida; Fabales; Fabaceae.
AUGGCACACAUUGUGGAAAAAUUAUGCUCUGGUAUCCCUAGUUUGUGUUGCACCCAUUUUGAGAACAUAAAAAUUAUUUCACAUCUGUGUUUCCUUGUCAUUAUGGCAUUCUACAAAAAAUGGUUCAAACCUAAUGUAUAUUCUCAUCAAAAGCUCCAACGGGUACAACAUGUAAUAUGCGUUAUGAGGAACUUUUAA